This 254-nucleotide ribosomal RNA is filed under the name uncultured bacterium. RNAcentral describes it as "partial 16S ribosomal RNA". It matches the Rfam family "Bacterial small subunit ribosomal RNA", at positions 526 to 779 of the family's 1533-position model. The record is from RNAcentral.
CGGAGGGUGCAAGCGUUGUCCGGAUUUAUUGGGUUUAAAGGGUGCGUAGGUGGGGACUAAGUCUGGUUUGAAAGCCGGUGGCUCAAACCAUCGGAUGUGGCUGGAAACUGGUUUUCUUGAAUGGGUUGGCGGCUGCCGGAACGGGUCAUGUAGCGGUGAAAUGCAUAGAUAUGACCCAGAACACCGAUUGCGAAGGCAGGCAGCUAGGACCUGAUUGACACUGAGGCACGAGAGCAUGGGUAGCGAACAGGAUU